GAUGAACGCUGGCGGCGUGCCUAAUACAUGCAAGUCGAGCGACCAGACGAGGAUCUUGCUCCUCUGACGUUAGCGGCGGACGGGUGAGUAACACGUGCAUAACCUACCUAUAAGACUGGGACAACUUCGGGCAACCGGAGCUAAUAUCCGAUAAUAUAUUGAACCGCAUGGUUCAAUAGUGAAAGACGGUUUUGCUGUCACUUAUAGAUGGAUCCGCGCUGCAUUAGCUAGUUGGUAAGGUAACGGCUUACCAAGGCAACGAUGCGUAGCCGACCUGAGAGGGUGAGCGACCACACUAGGAAAAGGACACCGUCCAGACUCCUACGGGAGGCAGGAGUAGGGAAUCUUCCGAAAUGGGGGAAAGCCUGGCGGCGGAACGCCGCGUGAGUGAAGAAGGUCUUCGGAUCGGAAAACUGUUUUAUUAGGGGAAAACAAAUGUUUGACUAAUUAUGCGCGGCGUGACGGGACCCGAUAAAAAAGCCACGGCUAACUACCGG
This 497-nucleotide ribosomal RNA is filed under the name uncultured bacterium. Its description in RNAcentral is "partial 16S ribosomal RNA". It matches the Rfam family "Bacterial small subunit ribosomal RNA", at positions 28 to 507 of the family's 1533-position model. The record is from RNAcentral.